Molecule: long non-coding RNA, 311 nt
Filed under: Oryza brachyantha (malo sina)
Lineage: Eukaryota; Viridiplantae; Streptophyta; Magnoliopsida; Poales; Poaceae
Description: long non-coding RNA (OBRA_LNC000823)
Source: RNAcentral
UUCUAUUCCUUUGAGUUGUUUGCUUAUUGUCAGUAUCAAUAGACACAAACAAAUUAUUAUUAAGAAAAUUAGAGCAACAUGUAAUAGUCACUAAUUGUGGUAGAGAAGUCAGCAUGGUUGAAAUGCCAGUACUUGUAUCUCUGAUUUUUUAGCGUUGACAACCGCUACAUACCAGUGUGUGUCUUUCAUAUUUAUUGGUAUAAAUAUCUAUUCAUAAAGUCGAGUCAGUAGAUGUACGUAUAUAUAAAUACAUACAUAUAUCCUACCAGAUAUAGAGAGCAAUAAAAUACCAAUUUAUGUUUAAGAUAGUU